Molecule: small nucleolar RNA, 146 nt
Filed under: Otolemur garnettii (small-eared galago)
Lineage: Eukaryota; Metazoa; Chordata; Mammalia; Primates; Galagidae
Description: Small nucleolar RNA SNORA61 (ENSOGAG00000029225.1)
Source: RNAcentral
ACCCUCCAGUUCCUUUCCCCAUCGGAUCUGAACAUUGAUCUCAGUGGUUGCAAUAGGAGGAGAGUAACACUUCACUAUUACUUCAGCUGGCCUUGUUUGCGGUGUUGUAGUCUCGUAUAUAGCAUGAGGGUUCAUUUCAAACAGGU